GGGCUUGACCGGUUUUGACAGCGGGCAGAGAUGGUUUGUAAGCAUGCAGUGCAUCGUUGUUCAGCACUUUAAUCUUGAAUGAUAACAAUUUAAUUGGCGAAAACACUUACGCUCUCGCUGCUUGAUCGAAGUAUAGUAGAUCUUAAGCUUUAUUCCUUCUCAAGGAGUUGGAACGAGACAUCACCCGGAAGCUCUGGCUUCGAAGCAAUCCGACCCGGUGGUGCAAGCAAUAUCGGAGAUAGUCUGAAGGAAGUCCCGGCUUUCGGACGAAAUUAAGGGACUAAGUUUCACAUUGGUUGUUCUGCGCUUGUGUGAAAUCGAAAACCUCAGCAGAAAUAAGCAUGUAGAAAGCAAAUGAUUUCCUCGUUUGGACGAGGGUUCGACUCCCUCCAGGUCCACUU
Molecule: transfer-messenger RNA, 401 nt
Filed under: Dysgonamonadaceae bacterium
Lineage: Bacteria; Pseudomonadati; Bacteroidota; Bacteroidia; Bacteroidales; Dysgonomonadaceae
Rfam family: transfer-messenger RNA
About the family: Bacterial tmRNA, also known as 10Sa RNA or SsrA, is named for its dual tRNA and mRNA-like properties. Its role is to liberate the mRNA from a stalled ribosome.
Source: RNAcentral